This is a long non-coding RNA of Herpailurus yagouaroundi (jaguarundi), 968 nucleotides long. RefSeq lists it as uncharacterized. The transcript is spliced from 6 exons. NCBI's taxonomy places the organism in Eukaryota, Metazoa, Chordata, Mammalia, Carnivora, Felidae. The record is from RefSeq and is a predicted model, not a curated record.
CCGGAGUCAUUGCAAAUUCACCACGUGCAGACCGCCCUCUUGGAAAGGAUAUUUUGUGCCUGAAUCUGUCUGUGAAGUGUUCUGGAUUACAACGCCUUCUUAUCAGUUUUAUCAAUUAGAAAAACAUGCCUCACCUUUAAUUGUUUUGGAUCAUAUUCAAUUUUUCUUUUUAAAUAAGGAGGAGAGCAUUUCAUUAACUGGCCCAAAGCCAUAGCAAAUGGCUUUCCUGGGAUUUGAAACCACAUAUUUGGAAUCUAGAGUCCAAGCUCUUCUCAUUGCCUUAUAAAGCUUCUCUGUUGUUUCUUCAAAGGAUGAGUUUUCUCUGCUUGCUGCUCAUGAGGGCAUUAUCUCUAUGGAGACCCACACUUGGAACCUGGAGGUCAUGAAGAUAAGUUCUAGAGACUGGGACGUUUAAGAUCAAGGUGCUGGCAGAUUGGGUGUCUGGGUGUCUAGUAACAAUCUGCUUCCUGCUUCAUAGACAGCUAUCUUCUCGGGGGAGAUUAGGGCACAGACAGACACAUAAGAAUGACCAGGUGAAGACAGGGAGAAGACACAUGUCUACAAGCCAUGGAGAGAAGUUUCAAAAGAAACUAGCCCUGCUAACACCCUGAUCUUGGAUGUUUAGUCUCCAAAAUGGUGAGCAAAGUGACUAAAGUCAUGAAGUGUUUGGAUCCAGUGAAGCAGAGGAAUGAAGAUGAAAACACCAUGAAAAAUGAAGUUACACGCAAUGCUACCCAGAGACAAGACAAUUGCAGACAAUUCUCAAGAAAUUGAAACUCUGAGAAAUAAUUAACUUGGUCAAAGUUUCACACUAUGUGGCAGAUCUGGAAUCGAAACCCAGCUGUUUGACCAUAAACCAAGCUCUGGUUCGUAACAUGUGAGCUCUUUGAAAAGAAAAAAAGUGAUAGACCAGUGCCAUAAAGAAAAUUUUCCUCUCCUUAGUAAAUCCUUCGAUCUUCCAGUGAUAA